UUUUAGAACUUACAUUCUCGGGCCCAAAAUCCCUGUUCGCUCUCUCAUGCCUCAAAACUUUCGGAAUCUUAACGCAGUCUGGGAAUAGGCUAUCUUACUAGAGCGGAGGAAGAGAUGGUAUAGAUUCAUGAGAUGUGUUCUAACCAAGGUACCGGGGAAGAUCAUGGGCUUUCUUAUCUGCUUGGUAUUUUUAUCUUCUCAAGUGCUGAGCCCAGACUUGAUUGUCAGCAGGAGUUCUGAGAUUAGGAGGUGGAGCCCCUCCUCUAGGGGAGAUUUUUGUAGAGGACAGGUGAUCAUGGCUACCCCUCCUUUC
Long non-coding RNA from Perognathus longimembris pacificus (Pacific pocket mouse), 313 nucleotides. RefSeq lists it as uncharacterized. The record is from RefSeq and is a predicted model, not a curated record. The transcript is spliced from 3 exons. Lineage: Eukaryota; Metazoa; Chordata; Mammalia; Rodentia; Heteromyidae.